RNAcentral lists this ribosomal RNA (497 nucleotides) under uncultured bacterium. RNAcentral's name for it is "partial 16S ribosomal RNA". It matches the Rfam family "Bacterial small subunit ribosomal RNA", at positions 28 to 507 of the family's 1533-position model. The record is from RNAcentral.
GAUGAACGCUGGCGGCGUGCCUAAUACAUGCAAGUCGAGCGAACAGACGAGGAGCUUGCUCCUCUGACGUUAGCGGCGGACGGGUGAGUAACACGUGGAUAACCUACCUAUAAGACUGGGAUAACUUCGGGAAACCGGAGCUAAUACCGGAUAAUAUAUUGAACCGCAUGGUUCAAUAGUGAAAGACGGUGUUGCUGUCACUUAUAGAUGGAUCCGCGCCGCAUUAGCUAGUUGGUAAGGUAACGGCUUACCAAGGCAACGAUGCGUAGCCGACCUGAGAGGGUGAUCGGCCACACUGGAACUGAAACACGGACCAGACGCCUGCGGGAGGCAGCAGUAGGGAAUCUUCCGCAAUGGGCGAAAGCCUGACGGAGCAGCGCCGCGUGAGUGAUGGAGGUCUUCGGAUCGUAAAACUCUGUUAUUAGGGAAGAACAAAUGUGUAAGUAACUAUGCACGUCUUGACGGUACCUGAUCAGAAAGCCACGGCUAACUACGUG